GGGCGUAAGGGCUCGCAGGCGGUUUCUUAAGUCUGAUGUGAAAGCCCCCGGCUCAACCGGGGAGGGUCAUUGGAAACUGGGAAACUUGAGUGCAGAAGAGGAGAGUGGAAUUCCACGUGUAGCGGUGAAAUGCGUAGAGAUGUGGAGGAACACCAGUGGCGAAGGCGACUCUCUGGUCUGUAACUGACGCUGAGGAGCGAAAGCGUGGGGAGCGAACAGGAUUAGAUACCCUGGUAGUCCACGCCGUAAACGAUGAGUGCUAAGUGUUAGGGGGUUUCCGCCCCUUAGUGCUGCAGCUAACGCAUUAAGCACUCCGCCUGGGGAGUACGGUCGCAAGACUGAAACUCAAAGGAAUUGACGGGGGCCCGCACAAGCGGUGGAGCAUGUGGUUUAAUUCGAAGCAACGCGAAGAACCUUACCAGGUCUUGACAUCCUCUGACAACCCUAGAGAUAGGGCUUUCCCUUCGGGGACAGAGUGACAGGUGGUGCAUGGUUGUCGUCAGCUCGUGUCGUGAGAUGUUGGGUUAAGUCCCGCAACGAGCGCAACCCUUGAUCUUAGUUGCCAGCAUUCAGUUGGGCACUCUAAGGUGACUGCCGGUGACA
Molecule: ribosomal RNA, 603 nt
Filed under: Bacillus pumilus
Lineage: Bacteria; Bacillati; Bacillota; Bacilli; Caryophanales; Bacillaceae
Description: bacterial SSU rRNA
Rfam family: Bacterial small subunit ribosomal RNA
Source: RNAcentral